CCAGGCUGCCGGUAGGCAUCACAAAGAUCGAAGCAUCAAUGGUUCCUUAUCUGUGCAUGCCUCAGGGAAGGAGCUGGCUCUGCUAGAGGCCAGCAUGAGCAGAGAGAACAGGAAGAGCUCCCAGGGAUGGGAUGUGAGCGCUGUCCUCCGACAAGUCAUCUUCACCGAUCCCAGGGCAGUAUGGCUACAGCUGUCCAGCAAGGUCACUCCAGCAAGGGUCUGGUUCUUUACUAAGAUGAUGAUCAAUCAGAACAGUGCCCAGCUAUUUUUCACAGGACUCAAGGAAGAGAAGGUGGGACCCAUCCUGUCCCUAAAGGGCAGAGUCCAGCACAAUAUUGACAGUUGGGGGGCUGUCCCAAAGCUCCUCGACCUCACCGGAUCUCUCAAACGGAAGAACCACAGCAAUGAGGGGAACCUCAGCAUCCUCAUUGAUGAUGCCAUGUUUGGGCUGCGUCUAAGGGACAAACAUGUGUCGGGGAACAGCAGCGUGCAUAGUGUGACCUGUGUGAUAAUUCAGAAUGGCAGUUGGGCCAUCCCUGACGAGCUUAAGCUGAGGGGACAGCUGCAGACCCAGCCUGAUGGCUACCAUGUCCAUGCUACCUUUCACGCAGAUGAAACCACUUUGUCCCUGGGCACAGCCUGCAUCAUAGCUCCAGGGCAGAGGCAGCUCUCUGCCAAUCUGGCCCACAACAGUAACAAUUUAAGAAAUUCAGGACUGCCCAUGAAUGGAGCGAUUCUGUUCUCCCAUACCUACCUUGCUCCCAACCACAGGCUGACCCUGGGGCUGCAGAGCAAUGAAAGCCAUAUUGAUGCUGCCUUUAGGGUAGAAGUUCCUUCUGGGGAAUUCCCAGAGGCCCGUAUCACUGCCAACCUGAGCCACAAUGUCGAGGACCUUAGGCAGCUUGGUAUCCCCUUUUUGGUUGAAGGAGACUGUUAUUACCAAGUGAGUAAUUACUUAAUGUGGGGUCUUAUUUGACAAAAGGAUGUUUGAGAGUGAGUGAGGAUGAGGAGGAAAGACAAGGGCAGAUGUAAGAUGCUUGGCUGAUCUCAAAUCCCUAACAGUAAAUUACAAUGGGGCAGCCCUCAGGUCAGACUGCAGAGUUUUUCAGUGACCUUCCUGCUUAUUACAAUUGAGAAGGUGGGAAAGAAAAGAGGUCUGCUGGUCCUCAUGGGGUGUGAGCUCUGAGUAGGGAAACAACCAUGGAUCCAGGUUCAGGUCCUUGGCUUUGUAGAUUUAGAAACUUGGUUUUAUCAGUUCACCCAGGAGACUGGGGUACCCACUAGCAAAUGAGAGGGCCA
RNAcentral lists this long non-coding RNA (1299 nucleotides) under Vombatus ursinus (common wombat). RNAcentral's name for it is "lncRNA (ENSVURG00010009487.1)". The record is from RNAcentral. Lineage: Eukaryota; Metazoa; Chordata; Mammalia; Diprotodontia; Vombatidae.